CCCACGUGGGUACUCCCAGGAGGUGACUCUCCCUGGGCUCUGUCCAGGUGGCGUAGCCAAGCACAGGGCUUUGCCCCAUGACAUAUAGUCCCUUUUGUGAUGCUGGUAAUGAAGCCAGGCCUUGAGUCUGCACCUGCAUAUUCCUGCAGCUUCUCAGAGUUCUGUGGACGAUGACUGAGGAGACAAACCAUACAGGAAACCGCU
The sequence is a small nucleolar RNA, 204 nucleotides long. Its record names the gene SNORA73. It matches the Rfam family "Small nucleolar RNA SNORA73 family". Rfam says of the family: U17 (SNORA73A and SNORA73B) also known as E1 belongs to the H/ACA class of small nucleolar RNAs (snoRNAs). Vertebrate U17 is intron-encoded and ranges in length from 200-230 nucleotides, longer than most snoRNAs. The record is from Ensembl.